This is a long non-coding RNA of Etheostoma spectabile (orangethroat darter), 1105 nucleotides long. RefSeq lists it as uncharacterized. Lineage: Eukaryota; Metazoa; Chordata; Actinopteri; Perciformes; Percidae. The record is from RefSeq and is a predicted model, not a curated record. The transcript is spliced from 2 exons.
UAGGAAAAGAAGAAGGGGACAGUUGGGUUUAGGAAAAGCAGAACGGGACAGUUGGGUUUAGGAAAAGAAGAACGGGACAGUUGGGUUUAGGAAAAGAAGAACGGGACAGUUGGGUUUAGGAAAAGAAGAACGGGACAGUUGGGUUUAGGAGAAGAAGAAAGAGAGUUGGGUUUAGGAAAAAAGAAAGAGAGAGUUGGGUUUAGGAAAAAAGAACGGGAGAGUUGGGUUUAGGAAAAGAAGGUGGGUGGAGUUAUAAAAUGAACUCCUGUGUUGUUUGAAUCGUUGCCCCCCAGCCAGCCUCCCUAUGUGGAACUUCGCCCUUUCAUACCCCUCCUUUCCAUUUUCGCUCUUAUUACUACGUCAUCUCCACGCGUCGCGGGGCAGCUGCUCUGCGUUCCACACACACGCCGAGGGGUCCUUAUUGCGUCGUAUCCGGUGCUGAGAGCCAACGACCGAGCGUCCGUAUUUUCCGAGUUGCGAGUGAGAAUAACACGGCUCUGGAACCAAUGAUGCAGGGUCACAGAUUUGAGUCUAACUCUGAUCUAGGUGCUUUGGCUGCUGUGAUCUUUGUGUUUGUGUUGUUUGUUUGUUUGGUCCUGAUGUGUGUGGAUAAAUGUACUGUUUGUGUGUCUGUGUGUUAUGUGUCUGUGUUGUAAGUCUGCUGUUUGUGCCUCUCUGCAGCUCACACAUUCACAGACUGUUUUCCAAUGUGUGUGACUGGAGGGAUUUUGGACACACACAACCUUUGUCUGUAUGCUUUGCUGUUUCCGUGGCAGCCGGGGACUGAGAUACUACUCCGUUUUAAGUGAUACCCACAAAAUGUUUUGGGGUUGGGACGACUCUGUCAAUGAGUUUUGGGAGAGUAACCUCAGCUGUGGUGUCUGUGAUAUGAUGGAAAUGAACUGAGCUGGUGACAUUGUGGCUUCAGUGUGAAUAUUCAGGCUUUUUAUUGUUUCUCUGUGCCACACCAGUUACGCCCCCCCCCCCCCCCCCCCCCCCCCCCCCCCCCCCCAACUGUUUUUGUUUCACUUGUGUUUGUACGUACCAGAUAUAAUAUUGUUAAAUAAAAUAUUCAUCAUGUAACAAGACAUGGUGUGAAUGUGCA